CAGUAGCCGCGGGAAUACGGAGGGUGCAAGCGUUAUCCGGAUUUAUUGGGUUUAAAGGGUCCGUAGGCGGAUCUGUAAGUCAGUGGUGAAAUCUCACAGCUUAACUGUGAAACUGCCAUUGAUACUGCAGGUCUUGAGUAAAUUUGAAGUGGCUGGAAUAAGUAGUGUAGCGGUGAAAUGCAUAGAUAUUACUUAGAACACCAAUUGCGAAGGCAGGUCACUAAGAUUUAACUGACGCUGAGGUACGAAAGCAUGGGGAGCAAACAGGAUUAGAGACCCCCGUAGUCCCUGUCUCUUAUAC
This 301-nucleotide ribosomal RNA is filed under the name uncultured bacterium. RNAcentral's name for it is "partial 16S ribosomal RNA". It matches the Rfam family "Bacterial small subunit ribosomal RNA", at positions 509 to 807 of the family's 1533-position model. The record is from RNAcentral.